This is a ribosomal RNA of 896 nucleotides. It matches the Rfam family "Eukaryotic large subunit ribosomal RNA", at positions 37 to 964 of the family's 3401-position model.
AGCAUAUCAAUAAGCGGAGGAAAAGAAACCAACAGGGAUUGCCCUAGUAACGGCGAGUGAAGCGGCAACAGCUCAAAUUUGAAAUCUGGCCUCACGGUCCGAAUUGUAAUUUGUAGAGGAUGUUUCUGGCGACGUGUCUUCCGAGUUCCCUGGAACGGGACGCCAUAGAGGGUGAGAGCCCCGUCCGGUCGUACACCUAGCCUCUGUGAAACUCCUUCGACGAGUCGAGUAGUUUGGGAAUGCUGCUCUAAAUGGGAGGUAUACGUCUUCUAAAGCUAAAUACCGGCCAGAGACCGAUAGCGCACAAGUAGAGUGAUCGAAAGAUGAAAAGCACUUUGAAAAGAGGGUUAAAUAGUACGUGAAAUUGCUGAAAGGGAAGCGCUUAUGACCAGACUUGGGCUCGGUGAAUCAUCCGGCGUUCUCGCCGGUGCACUUUGCCGUCCCAGGCCAGCAUCAGUUCGCGCCGGGGGAUAAAGGUUUCGGGAAUGUAGCUCCCUCGGGAGUGUUAUAGCCCGUUGCGUAAUACCCUGGCGUGGACUGAGGUCCGCGCUCUGCAAGGAUGCUGGCGUAAUGGUCAUCAGUGACCCGUCUUGAAACACGGACCAAGGAGUCGUCUUCGUAUGCGAGUGUUCGGGUGUCAAACCCCUACGCGUAAUGAAAGUGAACGUAGGAGAGAGCUUCGGCGCAUCUCCGACCGAUCCUGAUGUUCUCGGAUGGAUUUGAGUAAGAGCAUACGGGGCCGGACCCGAAAGAAGGUGAACUAUGCCUGUAUAGGGUGAAGCCAGAGGAAACUCUGGUGGAGGCUCGCAGCGGUUCUGACGUGCAAAUCGAUCGUCAAAUAUGGGCAUGGGGGGCGAAAGACUAAUCGAACCUUCUAGUAGCUGGGUUUCCGCCGA